CAGCAGGGUGACACACCAGCACCACGGUUAUUGGAUUCAGGAGUUUGCCAAGAAGCAGCAAUUAAAUGAUUAGCUUCCACCUUUAAUUUUGCUGGCAGGUAGUCUGUCGACGGCUUCUUUUUUCCAGUUAUGGCAAUGUAGCUAUUCUUAUCAAUUCCUCCCCUUUCUGCUAUUGCCUGAUUGUGCAGGUGUUAUCCCAGGCUUCAUGGACAACUCCGUCGCCUUGAGGAAAUGAGCCUCCUCCAUCCCUCCAUAUGUAUUUCCUCCUCUGCUCUGUACUGCUUUGCUCUGCCUCAUGCUUGCUGUCAUGUGGAUGUGCUGCUGCUGACCAAUACUAGCUUAUUGCAGUUUUCCUUUUUUGUUCAGGCCAUUGCAUUGCCUCUGAAUCUUACUUUUUUUGCGGGGCCUCUGAAUCUUACUUACUUUUCAGUGCUAUAUACAGAUUCAGUUACAGGACACAUAGUUCCUGGAGAUGAAACAAGGUGUUUAGUGCGUAUUACAUUUACCAUUUAGGAUUUACAUAGCAUCAUUCACACCUGAUUAGCAUAAGUUCCAGAUAAUAUUUUAUUAUCCCCUUUGAUGUUUAAGAUGGUUGCCUCUUCAGUAUCACAUCUGGAUCCAUAGCAAUUUCAUUUCUAUCGCUUUACUUCUCCGUGCAGGGAAAAUAGACUGCACCAAGCAUCAGUUAACGUACAUUCAGCAUAAGAGAGUUAAGCCCACUACCUAGCCGGCUCUUUGUUGCCAACUUAUUGUGACUACUUUCGAUUUUGGUGCAGUAGUUUUGGUUAGUGACUAUUAUAUCAUUUUUUCUUAAAAUAAGGUCCCACAUUAUGGCUAGGUGUUGCCGCGAGGGUUGUGAAUGUUCUUUACUUCUGAUAAAAGUGAAGUGAUAUUUGUGUAGGUGAUGACAAAAGCUACAAUUAUUCAGGGCUGUCAUUCUCUCCUGCAGGUGAUCUAUUAUGCAAUUUACUGUUUGCUGUAAUUUUACAGUGUCACUGCUCCCACUCUGCUUUUGAAAGCAAUAUGUCAAUAAUGGAUUACAUAAGGAAAGCUUUAUUGCAUCUGUCAGCUAACAUUUCUUACGGUGUUAGGGCCCUUUUGAUUCAUAGGAGUGGCAAAGAAUUUUAUAGGAUUCAAAUUCCAACGGAUUUUUCUUCCUAUGUUUCCCUUUGGCUUAUAGGACUAUGUUCCUAUGCUUCACUUUCAUGGGAAAAAUACCAAGAGGUAUAACCUCUUUGUAAAUUUUCCUUUGUUUUUCCUAUGGCACUACCAAAGGGCUCCUAUUAUCUUUUCCUGUGUUUUUAUUCCUGUAGAAUUAAAGAAGCACACCACUUUUAUUCCUGGGUUUUUCCUAUUCGUGUGCUUUGCCUAUCCUGUGAAUCAAAGGGGCUUUAAGAUGCUAUGCCGCUAUGCAUAAGCCACCCUUACUUGUGUCAUGACCUACUACUUCCUACUAGCAGUACAUUUUUGGUAUCCAUAUGGAUCUUUUCUUCAUGAUGGUUGUCUCUACUUAAAGCUAUGCAUUAUUCAUACAUGAAUAUUAAGUGAAAAACAAGCCACUCCCAACUUAACUUUUGUUUGAUGGAUAUGCUAGAUAGAAACCUAGGUGUAUGUUCUUGGUCUCUUAGGUCGUUGUGUCACACAAUGUUGUUUGUUGAUGAGCUCCCUAUAUAUAUUGUUAGGUCAAUUAUGUUGCCCAACAAGUUUUUUGUGCUAAUGUGAGGUUACUAGGCUCACAGUCCUUUAGAUAUAUGGAUUUGGUUUUGUUAUGGUGACAGUUCGGUUUUGGAUGAUUGGAUUGUUUUAUUUUUUCAUAAGCCCAGCAAUAUGAUAUAAAAUAAUGUUAUUGAAUAUGUGAAGAUUAGUGGCCAUACAGAAACGCAUGCCAAAACGACAUAUUUUCCAAAACUGAAUUGUCUUCCUAUGAGUUACAUCCAAUUUCUGAUCCAUAUGUAUCGUUGCUAAACAGUACUCCCUCUGUCCCAUAAUAUAAGGGAUUUUGAGUUUUUGUUUGUAACGUUUGACUACUCGUCUUAUUCAAAAAUUUUUGAAAUUAUUAUUUAUUUUAUUUGUGACUUACUUUAUUAUCUACAGUACUUUAAGCACAACUUUUCGUUUUUUAUAUUUGCAAAAAAAAUUUGAAUAAGACGAGUGGUCAAACGUUACAAUCAAAAACUCAAAAUCUCUUAUAUUGUGGGACGGAGGGAGUACUAUGUAUGGUGGUUUAAUUUUAAUGGUUGCAAAUCUUGGUUUCCCUGUAAGUAGCUAGCUAGCAUGAUUUUUUUUGUCAGGCAUAGUUUACUCUUUUAACGGGCAACUUGUUUAUAAACAAACAGCUCACGGGAUGUUGGUCUUAUGUCAUUCUAGAGCACUUUUCAGAGUUUAAUAUGACACAAAGGCUUUCCAAACGAUGGCGAUGCCUACGGAUAAUCAUUUUCCUGCUGCUCUUACAUAUUUCUAUAUAUUAUAUAUUCUUUUAUUUACUUAUUUAUUUUGACUGAUAAGAGCUGGAGACUGCGCUAUAUUUCAUAAUAUAUAUUCUUCUUUUAUGUUUGAUCCAUUUAGUUUGGUGCUCCCACUCUUCAGUCGGUGCUGCUUUAUAACGAAACUAUUAUGUGCAUUAUAUCGUCCGACAUAAGUAUAACCAUUUCAUGUUUGCAGGACCAAAGCUGCCAUUCAUACUGCUGUGCUUUUGUUGUGGAUUGAACUAGCAGGAGAGAAGAAUGCACAUGAACUUAUAAAUGGACCAUUUCCGGUAGCCACGAGUUCUCACUAGAAAAAGGCAGCUACUUUAUUUGUCCUGUAUAUUAGUAUAUUGUUUAUUAAUCAAUGUAAAUGAUCACUGACGGAGUACAUGUAUAUGCAUUAAUCACCUAAUCGUUCUGUAAUAUUUUCUGUUUAAUUUUUUUUGCUGCGCGGCGUAGCGCGCAAACCCUUUCUAGUAAUAGUAAUGUUAACUUUGAUUACUGGAUAUAUGUGGCAUUGAUGAAAGGUGGAGAUAUGGGAUCAUGAUCUAAAAAUUGAAAUAUGAGAAUGACCAGUAAUUUGGAACUUUGGAACUGAUGAA
This 3067-nucleotide long non-coding RNA is filed under the name Oryza sativa (Asian cultivated rice). Its description in RNAcentral is "long non-coding RNA (OSAT_LNC000422)". The stretch from base 1989 to 2191 matches the Rfam family "MIR812 microRNA precursor family". The record is from RNAcentral. Lineage: Eukaryota; Viridiplantae; Streptophyta; Magnoliopsida; Poales; Poaceae.